Long non-coding RNA from Physeter macrocephalus (sperm whale), 234 nucleotides. RefSeq lists it as uncharacterized. The transcript is spliced from 3 exons. The record is from RefSeq and is a predicted model, not a curated record. Lineage: Eukaryota; Metazoa; Chordata; Mammalia; Artiodactyla; Physeteridae.
UUUUAACAGUCUCCAUAAAAAAAGAAAAGGACUUUCCUGACCCUGAUUGUGUUGCCGUGAAGCUUUUCUAAGCCCUGAGGAAUAAAUGUAGAGUCUCGUGUGGCUUUGAGAAGCUCAGAAAAACAGGUCCUCCAGUAGCUGAGGGGCAAGGAACUACCAUUAAUCAAUGCCUGACUCUGUGCUAGAUUGGAGGAGAAGCCUCUCUGAGGAGCUGACAUCUGAGCUGAGACGGGA